UGGAUAUGAGCCCCUAUCGCAUGGUGGGGGUUGGAAAGAUUUUUUGGUCUGGGAUGGGCUCGCGGCCUAUCAGCUUGUUGGUGAGGUAAUGGCUCACCAAGGCGUCGACGGGUAGCCGGCCUGAGAGGGUGACCGGCCACACUGGGACUGAGACACGGCCCAGACUCCUACGGGAGGCAGCAGUGGGGAAUAUUGCACAAUGGGCGAAAGCCUGAUGCAGCAACGCCGCGUGAGGGAUGACGGCCUUCGGGUUGUAAACCUCUUUUAGCAGGGAAGAAGCGAAAGUGACGGUACCUGCAGAAAAAGCGCCGGCUAACUACGUGCCAGCAGCCGCGGUAAUACGUAGGGCGCAAGCGUUAUCCGGAAUUAUUGGGCGUAAAGAGCUCGUAGGCGGUUUGUCGCGUCUGCUGUGAAAUCCCGAGGCUCAACCUCGGGCCUGCAGUGGGUACGGGCAGACUAGAGUGCGGUAGGGGAGAUUGGAAUUCCUGGUGUAGCGGUGGAAUGCGCAGAUAUCAGGAGGAACACCGAUGGCGAAGGCAGAUCUCUGGGCCGUAACUGACGCUGAGGAGCGAAAGGGUGGGGAGCAAACAGGCUUAGAUACCCUGGUAGUCCACCCCG
Molecule: ribosomal RNA, 618 nt
Filed under: Microbacterium aurantiacum
Lineage: Bacteria; Bacillati; Actinomycetota; Actinomycetes; Micrococcales; Microbacteriaceae
Description: partial 16S ribosomal RNA
Rfam family: Bacterial small subunit ribosomal RNA
Source: RNAcentral